Molecule: non-coding RNA, 70 nt
Organism: Rhamnusium bicolor
Lineage: Eukaryota; Metazoa; Arthropoda; Insecta; Coleoptera; Cerambycidae
Source: the annotation of a GenBank genome assembly
UCAUAUGGCUCCGUGGUCUAGAGGUAACGUACUUGCCUCGGGGUCCCGGGUUCGAUUCCCGGUAGAGGAA